This 490-nucleotide ribosomal RNA is filed under the name uncultured bacterium. RNAcentral describes it as "partial 16S ribosomal RNA". It matches the Rfam family "Bacterial small subunit ribosomal RNA", at positions 29 to 507 of the family's 1533-position model. The record is from RNAcentral.
AUUGAACGCUGGCGGCAUGCCUUACACAUGCAAGUCGAACGGCAUCGCGGGAAAGCUUGCUUUCCUGGCGGCGAGUGGCGAACGGGUGAGUAACACAUCGGAACGUACCGGCUAGUGGGGGAUAACCCGUCGAAAGACGGGCUAAUACCGCAUACGCUCUUCGGAGGAAAGCAGGGGACCUUUGGGCCUUGCGCUAGUCGAGCGGCCGAUGUCCGAUUAGCUAGUUGGUGGGGUAAAGGCCUACCAAGGCGACGAUCGGGAGCGGGUCUGAGAGGACGAUUCGCCACACUGGGACUGAGAAACGGCCCAGACUCCUACAGGAGGCAGCAGUGGGGACUCUUGGACAAUGGGGGCAACCCUGAUCCAGCAAUGCCGCGGGGGUGAAGAACGCCUUCUGGUUGUAAAGCCCUUUAGGCAGGGAAGAAAUCGGCGGGGCUAAUAACCCUGCUGGAUGACGGUACCUGCAGAAGAAGCACCGGCUAACUACGUG